This 552-nucleotide ribosomal RNA is filed under the name Vreelandella aquamarina. RNAcentral describes it as "bacterial SSU rRNA". It matches the Rfam family "Bacterial small subunit ribosomal RNA", at positions 111 to 665 of the family's 1533-position model. Lineage: Bacteria; Pseudomonadati; Pseudomonadota; Gammaproteobacteria; Oceanospirillales; Halomonadaceae. The record is from RNAcentral.
UAAUGCAUAGGAAUCUGCCCGAUAGUGGGGGAUAACCUGGGGAAACCCAGGCUAAUACCGCAUACGUCCUACGGGAGAAAGGGGGCUCCGGCUCCCGCUAUGGGAUGAGCCUAUGUCGGAUUAGCUAGUUGGUGAGGUAACGGCUCACCAAGGCCACGAUCCGUAGCUGGUCUGAGAGGAUGAUCAGCCACAUCGGGACUGAGACACGGCCCGAACUCCUACGGGAGGCAGCAGUGGGGAAUAUUGGACAAUGGGGGAAACCCUGAUCCAGCCAUGCCGCGUGUGUGAAGAAGGCCCUCGGGUUGUAAAGCACUUUCAGCGAGGAAGAACGCCUAGCGGUUAAUACCCGCUAGGAAAGACAUCACUCGCAGAAGAAGCACCGGCUAACUCCGUGCCAGCAGCCGCGGUAAUACGGAGGGUGCAAGCGUUAAUCGGAAUUACUGGGCGUAAAGCGCGCGUAGGUGGCUUGAUAAGCCGGUUGUGAAAGCCCCGGGCUCAACCUGGGAACGGCAUCCGGAACUGUCAAGCUAGAGUGCAGGAGAGGAAGGUAGA